Molecule: long non-coding RNA, 513 nt
Filed under: Brassica rapa (field mustard)
Lineage: Eukaryota; Viridiplantae; Streptophyta; Magnoliopsida; Brassicales; Brassicaceae
Description: long non-coding RNA (BRAP_LNC002851)
Source: RNAcentral
GAUAUUUUAUAAAUAAUAUGCAUAUCUUUUUAAUAAAAAAUAGAUCAUAUCAAAUAAAAUGUUUAAAUAGCCAUAAUGUGUAGAAAAAUUUUAAAAUAACAAUUAAAAUCUCAAAUCAAUAUGAAAAGCACAUUUAAACUUUAUACGCAGAUCUUAUCACUCUAAAUCUUCAUCACCUUUUAAAAAAUUAUAUACACAUUACGUAAAAGUUAUAUUUUGAAAUACAAAUUUCAGAAACGAAAAUGUUUCAAUUAUUUAAAGUCUUCAAAACAAGUGAUCAUGAAAAAAAAAUUAAAAAAAUGAGAAGUAGACCAAAGUAAUAUCUUGAUGUGAAUAUUAAACUUUGUGAAUCUUGUAAUUUAUGAGUUGCAGAGACGACAAAAAAAAAAGUCGAGAGAUGAUACUUUAUUAAUCUUUGAUAAAUUUUAUUUUUACUUAAAAAGAAGAAAAUUAAUUGUUUCAUUAAUAAAAUUUUGGCUUAUAUACGAACCGGGGUUUGGCCGGUUCAUUGGG